UGUGGGAGCGAGCUUGCUCGCGAUGACUGAGUGUCAGUCGCCAUGAUGCCAACUGAUACACCGCCAUCGCGAGCAAGCUCGCUCCCACA
This 89-nucleotide unclassified non-coding RNA is filed under the name Pseudomonas jessenii. Lineage: Bacteria; Pseudomonadati; Pseudomonadota; Gammaproteobacteria; Pseudomonadales; Pseudomonadaceae. The record is from RNAcentral.